AAUGAACGCUGGCGGCGUGCCUAACACAUGCAAGUCGAGCGAAAAGACGAGAAGCUCUUUCCUCUGCCGUUAGCGACUGGCGGAUGAGUGACACGUGCAUAACCUACUUCUUUUUCUGGGAUAAUUUCGUGAAAACGCAGACACUACUGGCUCAUAUAUCCAACCGCAUGGUUCAAUAGUGAAAGACGGUUUUGCCGUCUCUUAUAGACGAAUCCGCGUUGCAUUAGUUAGUUGGUAAGGUAACGGCUUACCAAGGCGACGAUGCGUAGCUGAGCUGAGAGGGUGAUCGGCCACACUGGAACUGAGACACGGUCCAGACUCCUACGGGAGGCAGCAGUAGGGAAUCUUCCGCAAUGGGCGAAAGCCUGACGGAGCAACGCCGCGUGAGUGAAGAAGGCCUUCGGAUCGUAAAGCUCUGUUGUUAGGAAAGAACAACUGUGGGUUUAUAUAUGCACGUCUUGACGGUACCUAAAGAGAAAGCAACGGCUAACUACGUG
Molecule: ribosomal RNA, 497 nt
Filed under: uncultured bacterium
Lineage: Bacteria
Description: partial 16S ribosomal RNA
Rfam family: Bacterial small subunit ribosomal RNA
Source: RNAcentral